GGGUGGAACAAUUUGGCUCUGAUAAUGAACGAGUGACCUCUUCAGCCUUAAAUUUUUACUCACGUAACUUUGCCCAGUUGUCUAAAUGAACAUGGAAAAGCUGCAGAAUGAUAAACCUGGCUACACUCCUGGAAACGAUAAAUGACAAAUCCUAAUACUGCAAAGCCAUCUCUACUUCUGGGAAAUUAUCGAGUGGUAUUUGUAAAGUCUGAUGGGGCAGUGGAGCCUGUGCAGAGGGCUCGGAGCCUUGGCUCACAUGUGGUCCAUGGUCCCACAUCCUGCCUCCUGCUGCCUCCCUGGGGCAGGGGAUGUUGACCAUCUGCUCCCACCUCUGAUGUCCUGGCCACUCUAGCCUUCCCUCCACAAUGUCGCCUGGGGAAGCAAUGGGGUUUUGUUCCAUCAUCACCCUCCAUCCCUGCCUGGGACGUGAGCACAGGCAAGAAUGUCUUGGAAAGUGCUACCGCAAUCCACCCUAGAGCCGGAUAACUUAACAGAACGACAACAACCCAGACCAGUAACCACAAGAUUAGAAGAGAAAAAAAUUCACUAACUUCAGAGGAACAAAUUACAAGUGAAACGUCACUAUAUUCCUUCUUUGGAGACUCUCCUGUUUCAAAUGUACACUCUGUCCUGAUCAGAACAAAACCCCGAAGACCCAAAGGUACUGCAUGCCUAGGUUCAUUUUUGACUUUUGCUUUCCUUCAGCAUCUCCCUGGGCAUUCCUUUGGUCUUCCUGCAGGCCACCCCCCACCCCCAUCCACUCCUGGGAGGCUGAACAAGAAGAAAACGAGCGGAAAUCAUUUUACCUGAGCACUGACUCUUGGGUGGCGGCAGGGACAGUCUCACAAGCGGUGCCUGUUGCUUUCAUUUCGCUGCGUCUGGGGCUGGUCAUCCCGUUAAUAAUGCUCUUAUGACCGCCCACUGGAAAAAAAGCCACUUGCCCAGCUCUUCCCCCAAGAGACGUUUCAAGUAAGCAAUGAACUUGGGCAGAUUAGCCCCUUGGAAUGUGCCGCUUUGGGAUUAGCCUCACUAAGAAUCCCAUGGACAUUCCCUUGCAGCCCUCAAAUACUGCUUGAUUUGAACAUCUAAUCUGACGCCAGAAGAAAAACAAAUCCCCGGAGAGAUCGGAUUUAACUGGCACAAGUCCUGACAGGCUCUCCCCCCUUGGCUUUUUCCAUUUUCAGAGAGAAGCUUUCUGCAAGUGUGAUAAGGUGUUCUGAGUUCUGAAAAGUUCAACUUGGGAAAGCAAAUCCUUCUAAAGAAACAGUGUAUUAAUGCUCUGAGUGGUUCCAACACACAAGGGGCAUUGUUCAUUCCUCCCCAAAGAAUGGAAUGAUAGCAUUUCUUUAAAGAGGAACUGCUAAAAACUCUGAAUGUUUCAAAGGACUGGUCUGGUCCCUGAAAGGGAGCACAAGUAGAAUAAAGUUGGACUUUGUCAGCGUCUUUCCACAACUUCUAAAAUGUCAAUAAAAUGAUAAGACUUGUCUGAUCACACCUCUCAUCCUUGGCCCCUCCCUGACAAUUGCAAAUGUGUGACUGGAAACCUACACUCUCCUGUUUCCCUAUGAAAAAGAGAUGAGCCGGGACCAUUCCAGAUCAUGGACGCAGACGUUAGGCAGGAUGGUGUCUGCCUCGGGUGGCCUGACUGGGAGCUUCUGGCUCACACAAAAAGGUCCCUUUCAAACAUCAUCCAAGAGUGAAUUUUUUACAUAACAGUAGUUCUUAACUAGAUAAGUGAACAAAUUGGGAGAGUAAAGAGCUCUGAUUUCAACAAGGCAAAAAUACUUUUUAAAAAAGUAAAUAUAUAAGCAUUUCAUCUCCAAAGGAUUUAUCUCCUCCCUUCCAGAGAGAAGCCAGAGCAGAGGGGUGCCUGGUUUUGAGUCCCGAGUCAGGCUCUGCACUGACCACGCAGAGUCUGCUUGGGAUCCUCUCCCUCUCUCUGCCCCUCCCGGGCUCUGGUGUGCUCUCUUUUGCACGUGCACACGCUCUCUCUCUCAAAAAUAAAUAAACAUUAAAAAAAAAAAAAGAGGUCAGAGCAGAGAGUUGGUAUUUAUGGUCAACAAUAGGGACUGUAAAUCUGUGAGGGCAAUGCCACUCUGAUCUUUUAUUUCCCUGAAAAUACCUAGUAUGUGUUAAGAGAACAUUGACUGGCAGUCACAGCGUGAACUGGAUGACUUAUUCCAAACUUGGAUGGAAUACUUAGCCUUCUCCUGGCCUCUCUGCUGUUUCCAGGAUUGAUCUCCUUCAUACUCCGGUCUCUCACAUACCAAGUUCACCCCAGACACAAGAGUCAAUAAACCACCUAAUGACAUUCAACUGAGGAUGCAGUAAAAUCAGCAAGACGUUCAAGUGAAACAUCAGACUGAGCUUCAGCAUUAAAUGUGUGAUGGAGAAGUCCCUUCACUUGUCUUCAGGAGCUGGCUACAGAAUAGUGACAGCCUUGAUAAUGUGCACCCCCUCCUUUCACGCAGCAGUAACACUCCCACGCAUUUUAUUCUCAGGGAAUCACCAGAGAUGUGAGCCACAGAGAUGUUCACUGCGUCUUUAUUUAUAACACAGAAAAACUGGAAAAAGUUCAGCGAGGGGAAGCUAAUUGAACUAUGGCUCGUGCUGUUGGAUGAUGAUCAUAAUCAAGUUUCAGAAAACUAAUUACAUAGAGAAAUACAUAUUUUCACAUUCUUGUGUGAGGCAAGCAGGCAUAAAAGAGGAGGUGAAGAAUAAUUAUAAAUUUUAAAUACAGACAGACAUGAUAGGUAGGAAAUACACUUAAAGGGGAAACUUUUUAUUUUUUUAAUGUUUAUUUAUUUUUGAGAGAGAGGGAGAGACAGAGUGUCAACAGGGGAGGAGCAGAGA
Felis catus (domestic cat) is the source of this 2853-nucleotide long non-coding RNA. RefSeq lists it as uncharacterized. The transcript is spliced from 3 exons. NCBI's taxonomy places the organism in Eukaryota, Metazoa, Chordata, Mammalia, Carnivora, Felidae. The record is from RefSeq and is a predicted model, not a curated record.